AUCGCUUCUCGGCCUUUUGGCUAAGAUCAAGUGUAGUAUCUGUUCUUAUCAGAAAUGGAAAGUAAUCCUGUAUAUCUUAAGGAGGUGCUUCAGCAUUUCAGUACAUGGUAAAAAUUUGAAAACUUUCUUUAGGUUUAACUUAUACAGCUCUA
This 152-nucleotide small nuclear RNA is filed under the name Zalophus californianus (California sea lion). RNAcentral's name for it is "U2 spliceosomal RNA (ENSZCAG00015007341.1)". It matches the Rfam family "U2 spliceosomal RNA". From Rfam's summary of the family: U2 is a small nuclear RNA (snRNA) component of the spliceosome (involved in pre-mRNA splicing). The record is from RNAcentral. Lineage: Eukaryota; Metazoa; Chordata; Mammalia; Carnivora; Otariidae.